GACGAACGCUGGCGGCGCGCUUAACACAUGCAAGUCGAACGGAGCUUAGAGAGCUUGCUUUUUAAGCUUAGUGGCGAACGGGUGAGUAACGCGUGAGUAACCUGCCCUAGAGUGGGGGACAACAGUUGGAAACGACUGCUAAUAUCGCAUAAGCCCACGGUACCGCAUGGCACUGAGGGAAAAGGAUUUAUUCGCUUUAGGAUGGACUCGCGUCCAAUUAGCUAGUUGGUGAGGUAACGGCCCACCAAGGCGACGAUUGGUAGCCGGACUGAGAGGUUGAACGGCCACAUUGGGACUGAGACACGGCCCAGACUCCUACGGGAGGCAGCAGUGGGGGAUAUUGCACAAUGGGGGAAACCCUGAUGCAGCGACGCCGCGUGGAGGAAGAAGGUUUUCGGAUUGUAAACUCCUGUCGUUAGGGACGAUAAUGACGGUACCUAACAAGAAAGCACCGGCUAACUACGUGCCAGCAGCCGCGGUAAAACGUAGGGUGCAAGCGUUGUCCGGAAUUACUGGGUGUAAAGGGAGCGCAGGCGGGAAGACAAGUUGGAAGUGAAAACCAUGGGCUCAACCCAUGAAUUGCUUUCAAAACUGUUUUUCUUGAGUAGUGCAGAGGUAGAUGGAAUUCCCGGUGUAGCGGUGGAAUGCGUAGAUAUCGGGAGGAACACCAGUGGCGAAGGCGGUCUACUGGGCACCAACUGGCGCUGAGGCUCGAAAGCAUGGGUAGCAAACAGAAUUAGAUACCCUGGUAGUCCAUGCCGUAAACGAUC
RNAcentral lists this ribosomal RNA (770 nucleotides) under uncultured bacterium. RNAcentral's name for it is "bacterial SSU rRNA". It matches the Rfam family "Bacterial small subunit ribosomal RNA", at positions 28 to 811 of the family's 1533-position model. The record is from RNAcentral.